CCCCAUGAAAGCCACUCCACAAACCCAGCACUGCAUCUUCAACUCCAUUUUUCAAAUUGCUCUGGAAAGCUUGACUGAGGAUGAAAGCUUAACUGAAGGUUUUUAAGUAUUUGUCCUUGUUCUGCUAUUGUAUAAGAAGGCAGCCAACUUAAUCUUCCCAAUGUUGCAAACAUUUGUUUUUAAAAAAGGGUCCUUGCAUCAGUAUCUUCACCUGAAUCAAGAAAGAUGUCCCAGACCACUGUUGUACUCCCUUCAUACAAUCCAGAUGAUCAGACUCCAACAUGACCACCCCAGUACAUACAUGACCCUUGGCUGUUGAUGCACCUUAAAUACAUAAAAAACAUCUCCUGGAUAUCUUAACUGCGUACAAAAGACUGUCUUACACAAGUUCUACAAGAAAACAUUUCUAUUCUUUAUUUGCAACGCUCCUGCACAACACUCCUGCAGCGGGAAUGAUGUACACACGUCUUUGGGAUAGUUCACCAAGGAUUUUACUCAGCCCACCUAGACAUACAAAUUGGAUCUGCUUGUUCAGGUGUUGACUCAGGUGAAAUUCAUAGAACGGUUUAAAAUUCCCAUCUGAACAGGUCCUGUAACAGUCAGACCAAUACUUAAUUGUGAAGGCUGGGUCAGUUACCUAGUUUUGAUUCUUCAGUUGUCUCAAGGCAGACCAUUAUUCUGUCUAUAUGGAUGCCUGUCCAGGAACCUCUCGGACCACGCCAUUAAGGCUCUAAGUGCGGUGGGUGUGCACACAGGCACAGCUCUGAUACACAGCUGCUCCACUGUUAUUACUAAAGAACAAACUUGAUUUUCAUAAUUAAAAGUCGGUUGUAAUUUAAGUCCCAUAAUUCCUUCCACAAUUGCACAGAAUAUUCCAAUAGAGGUUUUACUGGAAAAUGGCAUAAAGACUUUGGUGUUUCUACAAAAAUUUAAUCCUCUGAUAAAAGGAAGAACAUUUAUUUUUUUCCACAAUUGUAUCACAUUGACCUGUUCAUAUUCAUCCUUUGAAGAGCUAAAAUAUUUUUCUUAAUUAUAUACAGCUAAUAAAUUAUAUAGAAGGAAUCUUGCUAUUGGGAUC
RNAcentral lists this long non-coding RNA (1078 nucleotides) under Athene cunicularia (burrowing owl). RNAcentral describes it as "lncRNA (ENSACUG00000000508.1)". Lineage: Eukaryota; Metazoa; Chordata; Aves; Strigiformes; Strigidae. The record is from RNAcentral.